GUAGACAUAGUUUAAAAAAAAUACCAGACUGUGAAUCUGAAGAUAGGGUGUAACCAUCCUUGUCUACC
RNAcentral lists this transfer RNA (68 nucleotides) under Neodon liaoruii. RNAcentral's name for it is "Neodon sp. l BGI-2019 tRNA-His". It matches the Rfam family "tRNA". Rfam says of the family: Transfer RNA (tRNA) molecules are approximately 80 nucleotides in length. Their secondary structure includes four short double-helical elements and three loops (D, anti-codon, and T loops). Lineage: Eukaryota; Metazoa; Chordata; Mammalia; Rodentia; Cricetidae. The record is from RNAcentral.